This 96-nucleotide non-coding RNA is filed under the name Microcebus murinus (gray mouse lemur). The record is from RNAcentral. Lineage: Eukaryota; Metazoa; Chordata; Mammalia; Primates; Cheirogaleidae.
GGCUGGUCUGAUGGUAGCAGGUUAUCAAAACUUAUUAACAUUAGUGUCACCAAAGUUGGUAUUCAGCUCCCCACUGCUAACUUUGACUGGAAUAAA